Molecule: ribosomal RNA, 737 nt
Filed under: uncultured bacterium
Lineage: Bacteria
Description: bacterial SSU rRNA
Rfam family: Bacterial small subunit ribosomal RNA
Source: RNAcentral
UGAAGUUAAAGNCAUUGGCUCAACCAAUGUAUGCUUUGGAAACUGUUAGACUUGAGUGCAGAAGGGGAGAGUGGAAUUCCAUGUGUAGCGGUGAAAUGCGUAGAUAUAUGGAGGAACACCGGUGGCGAAAGCGGCUCUCUGGUCUGUCACUGACGCUGAGGCUNGAAAGCGUGGGUAGCGAACAGGAUUAGAUACCCUGGUAGUNCACGCCGUAAACGCUGAGUGCUAGGUGUUAGGUCCUNUCCGGGACUUAGUGCCGACGCUAACGCAUUAAGCACUCCGCCUGGGGAGUACGACCGCAAGGUUGAAACUCAAAGGAAUUGACGGGGGCCCGCACAAGCGGUGGAGCAUGUGGUUUAAUUCGAAGCAACGCGAAGAACCUUACCAGGUCUUGACAUCCCGAUGCCCGCUCUAGAGAUAGAGUUUUUCUUCGGAACAUCGGAGACAGGUGGUGCAUGGUUGUCGUCAGCUCGUGUCGUGAGAUGUUGGGUUAAGUCCCGCAACGAGCGCAACCCUUAUUGUUAGUUGCCAUCAUUAAGUUGGGCACUCUAGCGAGACUGCCGGUAAUAAACCGGAGGAAGGUGGGGAUGACGUCAAAUCAUCAUGCCCCUUAUGACCUGGGCUACACACGUGCUACAAUGGUUGGUACAACGAGUCGCAAGCCGGUGACGGCAAGCUAAUCUCUGAAAGCCAAUCUCAGUUCGGAUUGUAGGCUGCAACUCGCCUACAUGAAGUCG